RNAcentral lists this ribosomal RNA (497 nucleotides) under uncultured bacterium. RNAcentral describes it as "partial 16S ribosomal RNA". It matches the Rfam family "Bacterial small subunit ribosomal RNA", at positions 28 to 507 of the family's 1533-position model. The record is from RNAcentral.
GAUGAACGCUGGCGGCGUGCCUAAUACAUGCAAGUCGAGCGAACAGACGAGGAGCUUGCUCCUCUGACGUUAGCGGCGGACGGGUGAGUAACACGUGGAUAACCUACCUAUAAGACUGGGAUAACUUCGGGAAACCGGAGCUAAUACCGGAUAAUAUAUUGAACCGCAUGGUUCAAUAGUGAAAGACGGUUUUGCUGUCACUUAUAGAUGGAUCCGCGCCGCAUUAGCUAGUUGGUAAGGUAACGGCUUACCAAGGCAACGAUGCGUAGCCGACCUGAGAGGGUGAUCGGCCACACUGGAACUGAGACACGGUCCAGACUCCUACGGGAGGCAGCAGUAGGGAAUCUUCCGCAACGGGCGAAAGCCUGACGGAGCAACGCCGCGUGAGUGAUGAAGGUCUUCGGAUCGUAAAACUCUGUUAUUAGGGAAGAACAAAUGUGUAAGUAACUACGCACGUCUUGACGGUACCUAAUCAGAAAGCCACGGCUAACUACGUG